GGAGAGGUGGCAGAGCGGUUCAAUGCACCGGUUUUGAAAACCGGCGUAGUGUCAAAACUACCGAGGGUUCGAAUCCCUCCUUCUCCG
Molecule: transfer RNA, 87 nt
Filed under: Koliella longiseta
Lineage: Eukaryota; Viridiplantae; Chlorophyta; Trebouxiophyceae; Prasiolales; Koliellaceae
Description: tRNA-Ser
Rfam family: tRNA
About the family: Transfer RNA (tRNA) molecules are approximately 80 nucleotides in length. Their secondary structure includes four short double-helical elements and three loops (D, anti-codon, and T loops). Further hydrogen bonds mediate the characteristic L-shaped molecular structure. tRNAs have two regions of fundamental functional importance: the anti-codon, which is responsible for specific mRNA codon recognition, and the 3' end, to which the tRNAs corresponding amino acid is attached (by aminoacyl-tRNA synthetases). tRNAs cope with the degeneracy of the genetic code in two manners: having more than one tRNA (with a specific anti-codon) for a particular amino acid; and 'wobble' base-pairing, i.e. permitting non-standard base-pairing at the 3rd anti-codon position.
Source: RNAcentral